This 495-nucleotide ribosomal RNA is filed under the name Bacillus pumilus. Its description in RNAcentral is "bacterial SSU rRNA". It matches the Rfam family "Bacterial small subunit ribosomal RNA", at positions 28 to 506 of the family's 1533-position model. Lineage: Bacteria; Bacillati; Bacillota; Bacilli; Caryophanales; Bacillaceae. The record is from RNAcentral.
GACGAACGCUGGCGGCGUGCCUAAUACAUGCAAGUCGAGCGNACAGAAGGGAGCUUGCUCCCGGAUGUUAGCGGCGGACGGGUGAGUAACACGUGGGUAACCUGCCUGUAAGACUGGGAUAACUCCGGGAAACCGGAGCUAAUACCGGAUAGUUCCUUGAACCGCAUGGUUCAAGGAUGAAAGACGGUUUCGGCUGUCACUUACAGAUGGACCCGCGGCGCAUUAGCUAGUUGGUGGGGUAAUGGCUCACCAAGGCGACGAUGCGUAGCCGACCUGAGAGGGUGAUCGGCCACACUGGGACUGAGACACGGCCCAGACUCCUACGGGAGGCAGCAGUAGGGAAUCUUCCGCAAUGGACGAAAGUCUGACGGAGCAACGCCGCGUGAGUGAUGAAGGUUUUCGGAUCGUAAAGCUCUGUUGUUAGGGAAGAACAAGUGCGAGAGUAACUGCUCGCACCUUGACGGUACCUAACCAGAAAGCCACGGCUAACUACGU